GCGUACCGCCGAAGUCGUGUCAUUGCAGUACAUACCCCCAACGGGGACUGUGAUGGGUAGGGGAGCGUCGUGUGCCGGGUGAAGCAGCCGCGGAAGCGAGUUGUGGACGGUUCACGAGUGAGAAUGCAGGCAUGAGUAGCGAUACACACGUGAGAAACGUGUGCGCCGAUUGACUAAGGGUUCCUGGGUCAAGCUGAUCUGCCCAGGGUAAGUCGGGACCUAAGGCGAGGCCGACAGGCGUAGUCGAUGGACAACCGGUUGAUAUUCCGGUACCCGCUUUGAAACGCCCAGUACUGAACCCGUUAAUGCUAAGGCCGUGAAGCCGCCGGCUGAGUCUUCGGACGAGGUCGGAGUGGUGGAGCCGCUGACCCAAGGCGGUAGUAGGUAAGUGAUGGGGUGACGCAGGAAGGUAGUCCAGCCCGGGCGGUGGUUGUCCCGGGGUAAGGGUGUAGGACGUCACGUAGGCAAAUCCGCGUGACACAUAGUCUGAGACCUGAUGCCGAGCCGAUUGUGGUGAAGUGGAUGAUCCUAUGCUGUCGAGAAAAGCCUCUAGCGAGUUUCAUGGCGGCCCGUACCCUAAACCGACUCAGGUGGUCAGGUAGAGAAUACCGAGGCGUUCGGGUGAACUAUGGUUAAGGAACUCGGCAAAAUGCCCCCGUAACUUCGGGAGAAGGGGGGCCAUCACCGGUGAGAGCACUUGCUGCUCGAGCUGGGGGUGGCCGCAGAGACCAGCGAGAAGCGACUGUUUACUAAAAACACAGGUCCGUGCGAAGCCGUAAGGCGAUGUAUACGGACUGACGCCUGCCCGGUGCUGGAACGUUAAGGGGACCGGUUAGCUGACUUUCGGGUCGGCGAAGCUGAGAACUUAAGCGCCAGUAAACGGCGGUGGUAACUAUAACCAUCCUAAGGUAGCGAAAUUCCUUGUCGGGUAAGUUCCGACCUGCACGAAUGGCGUAACGACUUCUCGACUGUCUCAACCAUAGGCCCGGUGAAAUUGCACUACGAGUAAAGAUGCUCGUUUCGCGCAGCAGGACGGAAAGACCCCGGGACCUUUACUACAGUUUGAUAUUGGUGUUCGGUUCGGCUUGUGUAGGAUAGGUGGGAGACUGUGAAGCUUGGACGCCAGUUCAGGUGGAGUCGUCGUUGAAAUACCACUCUGGUCGUGCUGGAUGUCUAACCUGGGUCCGUGAUCCGGAUCAGGGACAGUGUCUGAUGGGUAGUUUAACUGGGGCGGUUGCCUCCCAAAGGGUAACGGAGGCGCCCAAAGGUUCCCUCAGCCUGGUUGGCAAUCAGGUGUUGAGUGUAAGUGCACAAGGGAGCUUGACUGUGAGACCGACGGGUCGAGCAGGGACGAAAGUCGGGACUAGUGAUCCGGCGGUGGCUUGUGGAAGCGCCGUCGCUCAACGGAUAAAAGGUACCCCGGGGAUAACAGGCUGAUCUUCCCCAAGAGUCCAUAUCGACGGGAUGGUUUGGCACCUCGAUGUCGGCUCGUCGCAUCCUGGGGCUGGAGUCGGUCCCAAGGGUUGGGCUGUUCGCCCAUUAAAGCGGUACGCGAGCUGGGUUUAGAACGUCGUGAGACAGUUCGGUCCCUAUCCGCUGUGCGCGUAGGAGUCUUGAGAAGGGCUGUCCCUAGUACGAGAGGACCGGGACGGACGAACCUCUGGUGUGCCAGUUGUCCUGCCAAGGGCAUGGCUGGUUGGCUACGUUCGGAAAGGAUAACCGCUGAAAGCAUCUAAGCGGGAAGCCUGCUUCGAGAUGAGGACUCCCACCUCCUUGAGAGGGUAAGGCUCCCAGUAGACGACUGGGUUGAUAGGCCGGAUAUGGAAGCCAGGUAACUGGUGGAGUUGACCGGUACUAAUAGGCCGAGGGCUUGUCCUCAUUUG
RNAcentral lists this ribosomal RNA (1883 nucleotides) under Streptomyces sp. PKU-EA00015. RNAcentral describes it as "partial 23S ribosomal RNA". It matches the Rfam family "Bacterial large subunit ribosomal RNA", at positions 1186 to 2925 of the family's 2925-position model. Lineage: Bacteria; Bacillati; Actinomycetota; Actinomycetes; Kitasatosporales; Streptomycetaceae. The record is from RNAcentral.